CAAAGAUACUCAAAAUAGCCAAGAGAAAAACCUUGUCUGUCUACAUUUUAUAACACCAUCUAUACAAAGAUAAAGUCUGUGAUGAUACCAUCAUUAAGAGACUAUACACGACCUCUGGCCUCAUGGCAUUUACAUUCCAGCCCCAAACAGGAAAUGAUCUACGGUGCGAGACCUCCUAUGGAGUGAACAGAUCACAGGAAAAACAUCUGGCCAGGAAAAUACAAUGAAAUCUGAGAAGACAGCAUAUUGACGUGUUAACAGGAAAACAAAAAGAAGACAGACAAAUAAAAGAACAGCUACAAUGAUCAUAUAAGAAAUGGCUGCAUAUCUGGAACAGAAUUUACUUUUGGCAAUCUGGUUAAAUCAGUGACAGUGUCUAAGCGGGAGGAGAAAUCCAUCGUUCAAAACACUGCCUGCCCUGGAAGAGCGCAGCCGAGGUCCCAGACACCCCGUCCACAUGAGAUGCACAAAAACGGGCGGCUCGGGGAGAACGUAACUGGGUGACGUUUCACCACAUCGCGGGGCGGGGGGGUGCUCCUCCGCACCGCCUGGCAGCCUCCUGCCUUCUGCCCCUCGGAAGUGGGGCUGCCACAGUGGCCGCCCG
Orcinus orca (killer whale) is the source of this 604-nucleotide long non-coding RNA. RefSeq lists it as uncharacterized. The transcript is spliced from 5 exons. Lineage: Eukaryota; Metazoa; Chordata; Mammalia; Artiodactyla; Delphinidae. The record is from RefSeq and is a predicted model, not a curated record.